AUCUUUGCGCUUGGGGCAAUACGAUAGUGUGUGAAGCUUAUGCUGAUGCAUCGUGAUUGCUAGUUGAAAACUAAUCCAACCCCCGUGAGCACGCCCACUGGGCGGGCUUCAAUUUAUGAUAUCCCCUCCGGGA
Molecule: small nuclear RNA, 133 nt
Rfam family: U4 spliceosomal RNA
About the family: U4 small nuclear RNA (U4 snRNA) is a component of the major U2-dependent spliceosome. The structure of U4 snRNA from yeast and human has been reported.
Source: Rfam